CCUACGGGAGGCAGCAGUAGGGAAUUUUGCGCAAUGGGCGAAAGCCUGACGCAGCAACACCGCGUGAAUGUUAAGCCCUUCGGGGUGUAAAGUUCUGUCAAUAGGGACGAAUUUUGACUGUACCUAUAAAGGAAGCACCGGCUAACUACGUGCCAGCAGCCGCGGUAAUACGUAGGGGGCAAGCGUUAUCCGGAUUUACUGGGUGUAAAGGGAGCGUAGAUGGUGAUGCAAGUCAGAAGUGAAAGCCCGGGGCUCAACUCCGGGACUGCUUUUGAAACUGUGUGACUGGAGUGCAGGAGAGGUAAGCGGAAUUCCUGGUGUAGCGGUGAAAUGCGUAGAUAUCAGGAGGAACACCAGUGGCGAAGGCGGCUUACUGGACUGUAACUGACGUUGAGGCUCGAAAGCAUGGGGAGCAAACAGGAUUAGAUACCCGAGUAGUC
RNAcentral lists this ribosomal RNA (440 nucleotides) under uncultured bacterium. RNAcentral's name for it is "partial 16S ribosomal RNA". It matches the Rfam family "Bacterial small subunit ribosomal RNA", at positions 338 to 795 of the family's 1533-position model. The record is from RNAcentral.